Molecule: long non-coding RNA, 687 nt
Organism: Pseudophryne corroboree (corroboree frog)
Lineage: Eukaryota; Metazoa; Chordata; Amphibia; Anura; Myobatrachidae
Exons: 3
Source: RefSeq, a predicted model, not a curated record
AAUCUCCUGGUAAAAGCCUGAGGGGAUUCAGAUCUGCUCCUGAUUCUGGGAGAGAGGCAAAAACUAGAGAAUACAGAGGUGUCCGUUUCUUCAAUGUAUUCAUUGGUUGGCCGUGACGGACACAUGACGCUCGAGUGCUUGCUAACUCGAAUCUAUACCGCCUAGCAGAGGACAAGCAAGGGGGCUACCUUUUUCCAAGAGAGAAAACUACAUUUGUGGACGGAGUGGAAAUCCCGGUACACAUAAUUGGUGAUGCAGCCUACCCGUUAUGGCAAUGGCUCAUGAAGGGGUUCACCCAACAUGUCCAGCUGAGCCCCAAUCAAAUUACAUAUACGCACACUCUGAGCUAGGCGAGAAUGGUGGUAGAAAAUGCCUUUGGACGAUUAAGAGGACGUUGGCGCUGUCUUAUGAAGCGCAAUGAUGUAAACAUUACCAUCAUGUCUAACAUUGUUGCAGCAUGUUGUAUUCUGCAUAACCUAUGUGAAUUUCAGAGGGGGGAAUUCUUACCAGAGUGGACAGUGCAGGACUCCGUUGUGUACCCAGCACUUGAUUGUGAGUCCUAUUUGGGUGACCAUUCUGGAAGUGCAGAACAGAUGAGUUCUGCUAUAAUAACCAACCUUCCCUCAUUACUCCGUUAAGUUUUUUCAGUUUUUAUAUUCUGUUAAUUGUUGUUGCUUCAAAAAAUAA